RNAcentral lists this long non-coding RNA (405 nucleotides) under Mytilus galloprovincialis (Mediterranean mussel). The record is from RNAcentral. Lineage: Eukaryota; Metazoa; Mollusca; Bivalvia; Mytilida; Mytilidae.
GUGGUUUAUAAUGAAUUUUAAAAAGAAUACAAAAUUUAAAUCAUAUAUUGUUGCCAUUAGUUUUGUUAGUGUAAAUCAGCAUAUUGAUCCUGAUGAUUCGUAUAAAUGUGUCGAAAUUAUAACAAUAGCUUUUUACUUCAAUUCAUACGGUGAUACUUCCAAAAAAGAAAACCCGUUUUAUUCAUUGGACAGGGAUUCAUUACUGUGCACUUACUGACGAUUGUAUUAAGCUGUUUCCAUACUAUAUAAUAAACACAUUAUAAUGUUAACAGACUGUCUGUACAAACAGAAUGUAAUAAUGUUGUAAAAUUUAAAAAAAAACAUGAUUUUAAACAAUAUAAGAGUGACAAAAGAACGCAUGUCAUGCAGAAUGUUUCAUAAUUUAUUAAAACAAAUUUGUGGUUU